UUGCAAAUCUGGACCCAGUCCAAAUCCUCAG
Molecule: non-coding RNA, 31 nt
Filed under: Rattus norvegicus (Norway rat)
Lineage: Eukaryota; Metazoa; Chordata; Mammalia; Rodentia; Muridae
Source: RNAcentral